GGAGAGGGACGGGUGGUCGCGGGUCUGAUUGGCCCGAGGAAAGUCCGGACUCCACAGGGCAAGGUGCUGGGUAAUACCCAGGAGGAGCGAUCCUCGGAAAGGGCCACAGAAACUUCAAACCGCCCGAAGAGGGCAAGGGUGAAAAGGUGAGGUAAGAGCUCACCAGCAUCGGGGUGACCCGAUGGCUCGGUAACCCCCACCUGGAGCAAGGCCGAGCAGGGGUGGGUGGCCCGCCCAUAACCCCGGGUAGGCCGCUUGAGGAGGGCGGAAACGCUCUCCCCAGAUAGAUGACCACCCUCGACAGAAUCCGGCUUACAGUCCCUCUCCGUGA
Molecule: RNase P RNA, 331 nt
Filed under: Pseudothermotoga sp.
Lineage: Bacteria; Thermotogati; Thermotogota; Thermotogae; Thermotogales; Thermotogaceae
Description: RNase P RNA component class A
Rfam family: Bacterial RNase P class A
About the family: Ribonuclease P (RNase P) is a ubiquitous endoribonuclease, found in archaea, bacteria and eukarya as well as chloroplasts and mitochondria. Its best characterised activity is the generation of mature 5'-ends of tRNAs by cleaving the 5'-leader elements of precursor-tRNAs.
Source: RNAcentral